Molecule: non-coding RNA, 1012 nt
Organism: Callithrix jacchus (white-tufted-ear marmoset)
Lineage: Eukaryota; Metazoa; Chordata; Mammalia; Primates; Cebidae
Source: RefSeq, a predicted model, not a curated record
AGCAAGUUUUGGCGAGGUGUUUGGCCUUGGGCUGGGGGUUGAGCACUUAGUUUGGUGCUGAAUGUAGAUCUGGGUGCAGUAGCAGAGGUAAGUGUGGAGAAUUCACGUGGAGAAGCCAGAUGCUGAGUAAUGUGCUCAGAAUAAUAACGCGAUUAUUAUUAUCAGGCGUGAGCAGGGAUGGCCGUGUCCGUUUGACUCCCGGCAAGGCAACUGGCCUUACAGAUUCUACUUGAUGAUUGCUGGUAUAUGGGAAAUUAUUUAAUUUUAAAUGUAUGUGUGGCCAAUUGCCUUGGGGGUUGAAGAUUAAAGAGAAACACAUCCUGCCUUGCAGGCCCUGUUGGGAGAAAGGAGGACACAGCUGGCUGUAACAUGUAUCUGUACUUAGUGAGGGCUGGAAAAGGUGCAGUGCUGGGAAGGAAACAUGAAUUGAUCCCACAGAUCUGACUGGAAAGAUCUUGAAGCAUUUCAUUAUAGGAGAAGGUAUUGGAGCUGGAUCUUGGAGGCUCGGGAUAAUUCCACAGUUAAAGAUGGAGAUAAAGAGAAAUCCAGAACAAGGGAACAGAGUGAGCAGAAAUAUCACAGGCAUUAAAAACAUGGGGUGUAUCCAAAGAUUGCGAAUUGGCCCAGCUUGCUACAACUGGAACACCGGUGUUGAAUGGACAGGAAAUUGGAAAGAUUUUUCUCCACGCAUUUAUUUGGAGCCCAUGAGUGUCAUUACAUGUGAGAUGAUCUUCUGAAGACAGCAGACGAUUGGGUCUUGCUUUUUUAUCCAGCUUGCCACUCCGUACCCUUUAAGUGGGGCAUUUAGCCCAUUUACAUUUAAGGUGAGUACUAAUAUGUGUGGAUUUGAUCCUGUCAUUGUGCUGUUAGCUGGUUACUAUGUUGGCUUGUGUGUAUGGUUGCUUUACAGUGACCUGGUCUGUGUGUUUAAGUGUGUUUUUGUAUAAGCUGGUAGCAAUUUUUCCUUUCUAUAUUUAGUGCUCCUUUCAAGAUCUCUUGUAAGGUAGGCCUA